AAAUUGAAGAGUUUGAUCAUGGCUCAGAUUGAACGCUGGCGGCAGGCCUAACACAUGCAAGUCGAACGGUAACAGGAAGCAGCUUGCUGCUUCGCUGACGAGUGGCGGACGGGUGAGUAAUGUCUGGGAAACUGCCUGAUGGAGGGGGAUAACUACUGGAAACGGUAGCUAAUACCGCAUAACGUCGAAAGACCAAAGAGGGGGACCUUCGGGCCUCUUGCCAUCGGAUGUGCCCAGAUGGGAUUAGCUUGUUGGUGGGGUA
Molecule: ribosomal RNA, 262 nt
Filed under: Escherichia coli
Lineage: Bacteria; Pseudomonadati; Pseudomonadota; Gammaproteobacteria; Enterobacterales; Enterobacteriaceae
Description: partial 16S ribosomal RNA
Rfam family: Bacterial small subunit ribosomal RNA
Source: RNAcentral